GUUUGAGUGAAAACUUGAUGGGUUUUUUGGAUAACGGCUGAAACAUCAAAAAUUUGGUAGCUGUUGUGUUGAUGAUCACGAAUGGAAUUCGAAACAGAGGUAAAGGAAAGCAAGAGAGCGAGAACUAAGAAGAAGGAGAGAAUGGGGCUUGGAGUUUGAGCCAUGUAGUCGUCGUUGUUGUGUUCUUGAUAGGUUCAGAGGAGUGAGUUAAAGUGAGAGCUGGGAAUGGGGCUUAAGUAAAGGACGUAAGGCAAAGGAGGGGCAGGGAAAGGACGGGGAAGGGUUGGGGGGUCCUCAGGUCAGGGUUGUUUCCUGUUGAGGAUGAGAACAAGAGGAGCAUUUAAAGUUUGAAAGAAGCAUGAAACCCGCUCUCUAAAGUUAAUCCUCUUGACAUUUUCCUUUUUCUUUUCUUUUUCAGGAGUUUGGGUAUUGGUGGCAAUGCAUGGAUUGGGCUUGGUUAACGCAAUGGAUUAAUUUUCAUUCAUUUUUCGACCUUGAUUAUAGUAGUAUUUUAGCUUUCGAGUUUGGAUGUUUGAUUAGGAAAUCAACUUGUUGAUUUUAAAGUGUGGCUAGUACGUCCAGUAACAGAUCCGAGAUCUAACUGUUUGGAUAGGAUAUUAUUUGAAACAUUAUUUAGCAUAAUUACUGUAAUAUUGUUUGUGAUGUGAUGUAUGUGGGAUAAAAAGGUGAUUGAAAAUAUAAAAAGAUGUGUUGAAAAAUAUGUUUAUGAUGAAAGCAAAAUAUUAUUAUUUGAGAUAAUUUCACUAUCCACCGGACAAACCAUUUGUUAAUGAAGCCUCGUGCAAAGCUUGUCUUCUUGUUCUUUCGUGAUUUCUUGUGAAUCCCUUCUUGUUGUUUGCCUGGUUUUUUAUUUGUGCUGCAGAGAAACUCCAGAGUCGAAACUCCUGUUGUUUUAUUCACAUUCUUUCUUUUUGAGCUAUUCACAAUCUUUCUACUUGAUGCUUUUAUCUUUUUUCUUGUCGGUUGAGUGCAAAGAUGGUUGGUGCAAGUGAUCUCUCUUCCCUCUGUCUAUCUUUAAUUUUAUCUUAUUGUUAUAAAUGAUGGUGAUGCUUGACGGCUCUUUGCGUGGUGGUGGUGGCGAGUUCUCUGAAGCCACGAGAGAUUUUAGUGAAUGCCCAAGAGCAAUGGUUCAUUUGGUUUUGGAGGAAACUGACUCUCUAACUACUUUUGUUUCAUUAGAUAGAUCCACCUGUAUAGAGGCUGCAAGAUUGGUAGUUUGGGAAGUGAUUUGCUGUACUGCAGUUAAUGUAGUUAAUGUUGUUGAAUCUUUUGUGGUGUAAGAACUCUCCUCAGGGCACCCACGAACUGCGAGUGCUAAUGCCAAUUUGUUUGAUU
RNAcentral lists this long non-coding RNA (1356 nucleotides) under Coffea arabica (coffee). Its description in RNAcentral is "long non-coding RNA (CARA_LNC002748)". The record is from RNAcentral. Lineage: Eukaryota; Viridiplantae; Streptophyta; Magnoliopsida; Gentianales; Rubiaceae.